CGUUCUAUGGCCGAAUUGGUGAAGGCAUCGCCGAUCACUAGCGUGGUUGCGGGUUCGAGUCCCGCUGGAACGA
RNAcentral lists this transfer RNA (73 nucleotides) under Operophtera brumata (winter moth). It matches the Rfam family "tRNA". From Rfam's summary of the family: Transfer RNA (tRNA) molecules are approximately 80 nucleotides in length. Their secondary structure includes four short double-helical elements and three loops (D, anti-codon, and T loops). Lineage: Eukaryota; Metazoa; Arthropoda; Insecta; Lepidoptera; Geometridae. The record is from Rfam by way of RNAcentral.